UACGUAGGGUGCGAGCGUUAAUCGGAAUUACUGGGCGUAAAGCGUGCGCAGGCGGUUGUGCAAGACAGAUGUGGAAUCCCCGGGCUUAACCUGGGAACUGCAUUUGUGACUGCACGGCUAGAGUGUGUCAGAGGGGGGUAGAAUUCCACGUGUAGCAGUGAAAUGCGUAGAUAUGUGGAGGAAUACCGAUGGCGAAGGCAGCCCCCUGGGAUAACACUGACGCUCAUGCACGAAAGCGUGGGGAGCAAACAGG
Molecule: ribosomal RNA, 253 nt
Filed under: uncultured bacterium
Lineage: Bacteria
Description: partial 16S ribosomal RNA
Rfam family: Bacterial small subunit ribosomal RNA
Source: RNAcentral